GACGUAGGGCGCGAGCGUUGUCCGGAUUUAUUGGGCGUAAAGAGCUCGUAGGCGGUUUGUCGCGUCGUCCGUGAAAACUCACAGCUUAACUGUGAGCUUGCGGUCGAUACGGGCAGGCUAGAGUUCGGUAGGGGAGACUGGAAUUCCUGGUGUAGCGGUGAAAUGCGCAGAUAUCAGGAGGAACACCGGUGGCGAAGGCGGCUCUCUGGGACGGUACUGACGCUGAGACGCGAAAGCGUGGGGAGCGAACAGG
This 253-nucleotide ribosomal RNA is filed under the name uncultured bacterium. Its description in RNAcentral is "partial 16S ribosomal RNA". It matches the Rfam family "Bacterial small subunit ribosomal RNA", at positions 524 to 776 of the family's 1533-position model. The record is from RNAcentral.